Molecule: ribosomal RNA, 253 nt
Filed under: uncultured bacterium
Lineage: Bacteria
Description: partial 16S ribosomal RNA
Rfam family: Bacterial small subunit ribosomal RNA
Source: RNAcentral
UACAGAGGGUGCGAGCGUUGUCCGGAAUUACUGGGCGUAAAGCGUGCGCAGGCGGUGAUGUAAGACAGAGGUGAAAUCCCCGGGCUCAACCUGGGAACUGCCUUUGUGACUGCAUCGCUGGAGUGCGGCAGAGGGGGAUGGAAUUCCGCGUGUAGCAGUGAAAUGCGUAGAUAUGCGGAGGAACACCGAUGGCGAAGGCAAUCCCCUGGGCCUGCACUGACGCUCAUGCACGAAAGCGUGGGGAGCAAACAGG